UUUAUGCCUUUGAGGAACUUGAACACUACAAGGAAGACAGUCCUGUCUCCACCCAGCAGGCCCCACAGUGAGGUGGGAUUAUGUGGCAGGUAGGGUGAGCUCAGUGUCCAAAACCUGCUGUCACCAGCAGGGAGAACUUGGGUCAACUUCUCAGCCAUUCUAAACUCCAGUUACCCACUGAAAAACGGGAUAACAAUCCAACUAAAUUCAGUUUUAUGAUGAGAAUCAAGUAAGAUCAACUAUCUCAAGAGAUGGAGCUCACCAGGUGCCUCUACUAAUCCUUUCAGAACCUGAAGCGAGCAUAGGCUCUACAGAGUCUAGGAUUUUUUUACCUUAAAAAACAGAGAGACAAAGAUGUGCUUAAUAAUGUAGACCUAAAAAGUGUGACUGUACUGCUUUUUCAGGGGAAAAUGAUGUGAUUCUGUGCCUUAGGGUUAGUGAAUGCUGGUUGAAUACAGAGAAAUAACCUGAGAACAUUUCAGGAUCCCAGAUCUGAUCCACUAUUAAAGGGAAGGAGGGUUGGAAGCAUGCUGCCUUUGAGGUGUUCCCCUCCUCACCUUCUUGGGAAUCUCAGCCAUGUGCCUACGGUAAUGACAUCCUGGUUUCCUCCAGUCUUGUGGGAAGAGAUUGUAGAGAAUUUCCUGCUGAGGGAAAUGAAAAGCCUAUAGCAUUGAGAUUCUUUCUCAGAAAUCCAGAAAAGAAAAAAGAGAAACUCAUACAUGAUGGUGGACUUUGAGCCCAGAUGGCUUGGAUUUGAAUCCCAGCUUGGACACUUACUAGCUGUGCAAUGAAGAAGUGAAAACUCAUGGGCCUAACAUCUUCCUGUGUAAGGACUUUAUUUGGAGAAAAUGUGGCAGUGUGACCAGAAAAAAGACUCUUCAAGAUUCCUGCCAAGAAAUGAGGAUGACCUCAACUGAGAAUUAGUGAGAAGGGAAGUGGAUGGAUUUGAAAGACAUUUAGGAAGUAGAAUGCAUUGAAUUUGGAAAUAUAAGAAAGAAAAGAAAUGAUGAUGAUGUCAAAAUUUCUUGUUGAAAGUUUAUUCAGAACAAUAAUUUUUGAGAAUUUGUUCUAUUUCAGGCACAUAGUUAGAUGUAGGGGUGUAGUGAAGUUUCUAGUCCUGUGGCCAUGCAUGUAUAUUUACGUAUGCAGAAAAUGGUGACAGAGUAUGAUAUGUGCUACAUUAUGGAUUAAUUCAGAGAUUGAAGGACACUGUUCAGUUCUAGUGUUGCUUAACAAACCACCCCAAAUUCAGGGAUAUGAAACAAUGGUUUCACCAUGCUCGUGGAUUCUCUUGGUGAUGAAUUCAGAAAGGAACUUUUGUGGCUAGUUCUCUUCUUCUUGAUGUCUGAUGCCUCACCUGGGAAAAUGUGAAUGACCCAUUAGCUGUGGGCUAAAAUCAUACAAAGUCUUAUUCACCCACAUAUCUGGCUUCUAUAUUGGAAAGACUCAAAGGCUACACCUGGGUGUCUUGACCUGGCUUGCUCACAGCAGGGAAACUUUAGAGGAGUUGGGCCCCUUAUCUGGCAGCUCAAGGCUCUGAGCACAAGUCUUUCAAUGUCCAAGGUGGCAUCACCUUUUCUGAUCUGGCAUCAAAUGACUCUGCCACAUUUUAUUAGUUACAAAUGAGUCCCAAGUCCACCCAGAUUCUAGAGGAGGGGACACAGGCUCCAUCACUCAUUGGGAGCAUUGUCAAAAUUGCAUUGUCAAAUGCAUUUGACUUGGAAGUUAUUGUUGUGGCCAUCUUUGGAAAAUAAAACCUGCCAUAGAUGCCCAACCAAACCUCAGGAUAGGCUUUGAGGAGGAAGUAGUUUUAAAGUGUUCAGGUAGAGGAAACAGCAUAUAUAAAGACCUUCGGAAGGAAAGUAAACAUACUGCAUAGAUGGUAGAUUUGAACUACAGGGAUGGAGAGAACUCAGCUUAUUAAGUAAUUCAGAGCUUGAUCACAAAGGGCCUUUCAACUCUUGCAAAAUAACUUGAACCUUGUUCAGAUGGUGCAGGGAAUCCAUGUAGGGUUUUGAGUGGUAGUGAGGGGGCAUGUUUACAUUUAUGAUUUAGGUAGAUCAUUCUUUCUGUUGGGUCUUGAGUGGUGAACCAGAGUUUUCAAAAGAGAUUGGAUAACAGAAAGAACAGGACAGAUCAUCCUAAUACAGAGUGUCCUUUGAGCUGGACUGCAGAGUACAGAAUGGAUGGGGCCAUGGUAAGAUUAGAGGUAGGGUUGUCAGGGACAAGGUGAUUGUAGCAAUUUAGCUAAAACAGAAUAGUGGCCUACACCAGGAAAAUGGCAGUAGAGUUGGAAAUAAAUGAACAUAUUUGAGAAAUAGAGCAUGCAACAGACUGCACCUGAUGAUGCUUAUGUGUGUGGGAGAAAGAGAUGAAGAGGUAGGCAUUCAAUUACUUGAGGGAGAGAAUACAGGAGGUGGAAGAGGUUGUAGUGGAAAGAAAUGAUGAGAAAAAGUUAUGUAUUUUCAAUAAUUCAGCAUCUAAUUGUGUGUGGUUGACAUGUGAAUUUUAUUAUAAACACUGAAACAUGGUGGUAUUUCUUAGAAGUGCUGUUGAACAGGUGAGAAAAUUCUCUCUUGAAAUAAAAUACACAUUUUCACAUGAAAUUGGUAAAAUACAUUCCUACUCAUUUACUUUUGAUUUGUCAGUCUUUGGCCACAAAAGCAAUAAAUGACUACAGAAAUGACCCUAUAGAAUCUGAAAAAAAUAUUCCCUCCCACCGCAGGUAUUUAGAAUUUGGCCUGAGCUACGUGGGAAAAAUUUCACUGGAAAAUCUAUGGUGAAAGAGGGACAGCUGGAGGUCACAAUUGAAGCUUUGGCCUGUGGUUUUAAAAAUCAGAAAUUUCAUCUAACUCCUUGGAAGAUUCUGGAGACUUCAAAUUGUAAUUCCCACAAACUCAAAUGAACAACCUCAUUCAUUUGCACUUGCACUUCCAGAAGGAAAUACUAUUCUUGGUUAUGAAAAUACAAUUUCUCCCCUAAUGGACUGCCCUUUCUUUGUGAGCAUGCUUGCUUUUAUUAUUCUGAAAGGACAAAUGUAGUCAGGCUACAGAAUGAG
RNAcentral lists this long non-coding RNA (3058 nucleotides) under Homo sapiens (human). RNAcentral's name for it is "HSALNT0137502". The record is from RNAcentral. Lineage: Eukaryota; Metazoa; Chordata; Mammalia; Primates; Hominidae.